AAGUAAGAAGUGAAAAAUCACAAUUAGUUUCGACCUAACAUAUAUGGUAAUUAUACCCUUACUUU
This 65-nucleotide transfer RNA is filed under the name Rugitermes sp. RNAcentral describes it as "tRNA-Arg". The record is from RNAcentral. Lineage: Eukaryota; Metazoa; Arthropoda; Insecta; Blattodea; Kalotermitidae.